UCGGUAGUGAUUAUUCUAACG
This 21-nucleotide non-coding RNA is filed under the name Caenorhabditis elegans. The record is from RNAcentral. Lineage: Eukaryota; Metazoa; Nematoda; Chromadorea; Rhabditida; Rhabditidae.